CGGUAAUUCCAGCUCCAAUAGCGUAUAUUAAAGUUGUUGCCGUUAAAAAGCUCGUAGUCGAACUUCGGCCUUUGCCGCCCGGUCCGCCCUAUGGGUGUGUACUGGAGCGGUGGAGGCUUACCUCGUGGUGAACGGCCAUGCUCUUUACUGGGUGUGGUCGGGAACCAUGAUUUUUACUUUGAAAAAAUUAGAGUGUUCAAAGCAGGCUUACGCCCGAAUACAUUAGCAUGGAAUAAUAAAAUAGGACGUGCGGUUCUAUUUUGUUGGUUUCUAGAAUCGCCGUAAUGAUUAAUAGGGAUAGUUGGGGGCAUUCGUAUUCAAUUGCUAGAGGUGAAAUUCUUGGAUUUAUUGAAGACGAACUACUGCGAAAGCAUUUGCCAAGGAUGUUUUCAUUGAUCAAGAACGAAGGUUAGGGGAUCGAAAACGAUCAGAUACCGUUGUAGUCUUAACAGUAAACGAUGCCGACUAGGGAUCGGACGAGGAUUUUUAAUGACUCGUUCGGCACCUGAAGAGAAAUCUUUAAGUCUAGGUUCGGGGGGGAGUAUGGUCGCAAGGCUGAAACUUAAAGGAAUUGACGGAAGGGCACCACCAGGUGUGGAGCCUGCGGCUUAAUUUGACUCAACACGGGGAAACUCACCAGGUCCAGACACGACAAGGAUUGACAGAUUGAUAGCUCUUUCUUGAUUUCGUGGUUGGUGGUGCAUGGCCGUUCUUAGUUGGUGGAGUGAUUUGUCUGGUUAAUUCCGAUAACGAACGAGACCUUAACCUGCUAAAUAGCCCGGCCGACUUUGGUUGGUCGCUGGCUUCUUAGAGGGACUAUCAGCGUUUAGCUGAUGGAAGUUUGAGGCAAUAACAGGUCUGUGAUGCCCUUAGAUGUUCUGGGCCGCACGCGCGCUACACUGACCGAACCAGCGAGUUUAUCACCUUGGCCGGAAGGCCUGGGUAAUCUUGUGAAACUCGGUCGUGAUGGGGAUAGAGCAUUGCAAUUAUUGCUCUUCAACGAGGAAUACCUAGUAAGCGUGAGUCAUCAGCUCGCGUUGAAUUCGUCCCUGCCCUUUGUACACACCGCCCGUCGCUACUACCGAUUGAAUGGCUUAGUGAGGUCUCCGGAUUGGCUUCUGGGAGCCGGCAACGGCACCUAGUCGCUGAGAAGUUGAACGAACUUGGUCAUUUAGAGGAAGUAAAAGUCGUAACAAGGUAGCCG
This 1204-nucleotide ribosomal RNA is filed under the name uncultured eukaryote. RNAcentral describes it as "SSU rRNA". It matches the Rfam family "Eukaryotic small subunit ribosomal RNA", at positions 577 to 1805 of the family's 1831-position model. The record is from RNAcentral.